GAUGAAGAACGUAGCGAAAUGCGAUACGUAAUGUGAAUUGCAGAAGUCAGUGAAUCAUCGAAUCUUUGAACGCAUAUUGCGCUCUCUGGUAUUCCGGAGAGCAUGCUUGUUUGAGUAUCAGUAAACACCUCAACUCUUUUUUCUUUUUUGAAAUUGGAGCUGGACUUGAGUGAUCCCAACGCUUUCUUCCAAGAAAGUGGCGGGUUGCUUGAAAUGCAGGUGCAGCUGAACUUUUCUCUGAGCUAUAAGCAUAUCUAUUUAGUCUGCCUAAAAAACAGAUUAUUACCUUUGCUGCAGCUAACAUAAAGGAGACUAGUUCUUGUGCUGACUGAUGCAGGAUUCACAGAGACAGCUUCGGCUGACUUUGUAAACUCGAUCUCAAAUCAAGUAAGACUACCCGCUGAACUUAAGCAUAUCAAUAAGCGGAGGA
RNAcentral lists this unclassified non-coding RNA (430 nucleotides) under soil metagenome. RNAcentral's name for it is "partial contains 5.8S ribosomal RNA, internal transcribed spacer 2, and large subunit ribosomal RNA". The stretch from base 1 to 120 matches the Rfam family "5.8S ribosomal RNA", at positions 35 to 154 of the family's 154-position model. The record is from RNAcentral.